AGCUCCGGCGGUUAGAGAUGGGCAUGCGUGUCAUUAGCUAGUUGGUGAGGUAACGGCUCACCAAGGCCACGAUGACUAGGGGGUCUGAGAGGAUGAUCCCCCACACUGGUACUGAGACACGGACCAGACUCCUACGGGAGGCAGCAGUGAGGAAUAUUGGGCAAUGGACGCAAGUCUGACCCAGCCAUGCCGCGUGCAGGAUGACUGCCCUAUGGGUUGUAAACUGCUUUUGUUUGGGAAGAAACCCCCGAUCGUGAUCGGGGCUGACGGUACCAUACGAAUAAGCAUCGGCUAACUCCGUGCCAGCAGCCGCGGUAAUACGGAGGAUGCAAGCGUUAUCCGGAUUCAUUGGGUUUAAAGGGUGCGCAGGCGGAAUAUUAAGUCAGUGGUGAAAUCCUGCAGCUUAACUGUAGAACUGCCAUUGAUACUGAUAUUCUUGAAUAUAGUUGAGGUAGGCGGAAUGUGUAAUGUAGCGGUGAAAUGCUUAGAUAUUACACAGAACACCAAUUGCGAAGGCAGCUCACUAAACUAAUAUUGACGCUGAGGCACGAAAGCGUGGGUAGCAAACAGGAUUAGAUACCCUGGUAGUCCACGCUGUAAACUAUGAUCACUCGCUGUUGACAAUACAUCGUCAGCGGCUGAGCGAAAGCAUUAAGUGAUCCACCUGGGGAGUACGGUCGCAAGAUUGAAACUCAAAGGAAUUGACGGGGGCCCGCACAAGCGGAGGAACAUGUGGUUUAAUUCGAUGAUACGCGAGGAACCUUACCUGGGCUUAAAUGCAGAGCGACGUCCGCCGAAAGGUGGAUUCCUUCGGGCGAUCUGCAAGGUGCUGCAUGGUUGUCGUCAGCUCGUGCCGUGAGGUGUCGGGUUAAGUCCCAUAACGAGCGCAACCCUUAUCGUUAGUUGCCAGCGGGUAAUGCCGGGGACUCUAACGAAACUGCCGGUGUCCACCGUGAGGAAGGUGGGGAUGACGUCAAAUCAGCACGGCCCUUAUGUCCAGGGCUACACACGUGUUACAAUGGUCGGUACAGAGGGCAGCUACCACGCGAGUGGAUGCUAAUCUCGAAAACCGGUCUCAGUUCGGAUUGAAGUCUGCAACUCGACUUCAUGAAGCUGGAUUCGCUAGUAAUCGCGCAUCAGCCAUGGCGCGGUGAUACGUUCCCGGGCCUUGUACACACCGCCCGUCAAGCCAUGAAGCUUGGG
RNAcentral lists this ribosomal RNA (1203 nucleotides) under uncultured organism. RNAcentral's name for it is "bacterial SSU rRNA". It matches the Rfam family "Bacterial small subunit ribosomal RNA", at positions 205 to 1415 of the family's 1533-position model. The record is from RNAcentral.